RNAcentral lists this non-coding RNA (246 nucleotides) under Oceanobacillus oncorhynchi. RNAcentral describes it as "T-box sequence". It matches the Rfam family "T-box leader". From Rfam's summary of the family: Uncharged tRNA acts as the effector for transcription antitermination of genes in the T-box leader family. T-boxes are found upstream of many aminoacyl-tRNA synthetase genes and some amino acid biosynthetic genes usually in Gram-positive bacteria. The record is from RNAcentral. Lineage: Bacteria; Bacillati; Bacillota; Bacilli; Caryophanales; Bacillaceae.
ACGAAUACGUGGAAGAGAAGUAGUAAAGAGUAAACGCUCUUAGAGAGGGAAAUCCUGUGCUGAAAAUUUCCCGGGAAGGUUGUUCUUGAAGUCGUCUCUGAUGUAGAAUCUCUGAAAAAUGAAGUAGGAGGUUCCGGUUGUCAGCCGAUAUCCAUGACCUUGAGUGUGCUUUAAUGAAGCUGCAGCAGCUUUUAUUGAUCAGCAAACAAAGGUGGUACCACGGAAAUAUACCUUUUCGUCCUUUAU